UGUGUUUAUCGCGUUGCCGUGAUGAAAAUCCUAUUGCGUCGAGUCUAUAGGUACGUCUUGUGUAGCAAUUUACGCUGUAGCUUGAUUUAAUAACAUGCACAUACCACCAGGAUGUUUUGAAAGUACCGGUCGCAGUUUUAUUUACAUAUUAUAUUUCCACAAAGGAAGACUAUCCUAACUAGCUCUACCAAACUACAAUUCAGUUAAAUCUCUACAUAAAGCUGAAAGCGCCGUGGGGUGAGUGAGUGAAUUGGCGCAAUGCCAGCCGGCGUCUCUGGCGCGCAGCCAAAUCGAGAGCGUACAGUGGAAAAAAUGGCCGUCGCGCAUCUUUGAUAUGCGUCAUGCGCGUGCGCAUGUUGCACGGUUUUAGAGAAAACCUGUUACGACUGAAAGAAAAUUACAACUAUCAAGAGAUGAUAUUGACGGACAGACGGCAUUGAUUGAGGAGGGGGGAAAUAAAUAAACUGAGAAACAUAGUCAAUGGUGUCGACAUAAAAUCACCGUAUAUUUUUAUUUAGACUAGUACGAUCGAUUUAAAUUAUUUUAAACAUUCUGUUAUAAUUCAUCUAUUAUAUAUAUAUAAAUGUAAUUGAUUUUCUAGAUUUGUUCUUUCAUAUUAAUGACUCAGUUAUAAAAAGAUAUAGAAUAAUAUAAUAAACGUAUGAAAGAUUGAAACGAGCAUAAGAGCCACAUUAGUAAUGCGCAGGAGUGUGUGGGCGGGGAGUCGUCCGGUACACGGCGCCCAAAGUACAAUUAACAAGAAAACUAGAGAAUAAAGACAAUCCCUUGAUUUAUUUCAAUUAAUUUAUAUUUUUUGUACAUCGUU
Long non-coding RNA from Danaus plexippus (monarch butterfly), 826 nucleotides. RefSeq lists it as uncharacterized. The transcript has 3 exons. Lineage: Eukaryota; Metazoa; Arthropoda; Insecta; Lepidoptera; Nymphalidae. The record is from RefSeq and is a predicted model, not a curated record.